GCGAAUUUCAUGGUCACCAAACAGCAAGAGCGUGUUUAAGAGGAAUGGACAGAAGAGAAUCAUAGGAAACUAUGAAACGCAUGACUUUUGGGAAACAUGUUAGAGGAUGUGCAAGCAAACAACAUUUGUGUUGUCAAUCUGGCUGUUUGGUGUUUGUUUUAAGGAUAUUAAAUAUUCUGAACCGUCCAUUUAUUAUUUUUACUUUCCAUUUUUUGUUUUUCCUUUUAUGUUUUUCUGCCAACCGUUUCUAUUGAAACUAGAGUGAGAUAACUCUGCGUUUCUUGUGGUAAAUGGAGUUGCAAAUGAUCCAUGAACCAAGAAUGUGAUGCCGAGGAGCAAUUUUGACCUCUGAGUCGUUUCGGACAUCAAAUAUUGAAUGACGAGGAACAUAAUUUCAUUCUCGUGUUGAGAUUUAGAGGGAAAACAACAACAAAGAAAGUGUAACUUUCAAUAUCUGCAUUUGGGCCAUGGGCAUGGAUUCUCUAAAACAUUCUACUGAUCAUUCUGUCUGAGAACUUGGUAUUC
This is a non-coding RNA of Vigna umbellata (rice bean), 525 nucleotides long. The record is from RefSeq and is a predicted model, not a curated record. NCBI's taxonomy places the organism in Eukaryota, Viridiplantae, Streptophyta, Magnoliopsida, Fabales, Fabaceae.